GUCAGGACGAACGCUGGCGGCGUGCCUAACACAUGCAAGUCGAGCGAGGAGAUUCCUUCGGGAUGAUCCUAGCGGCGGACGGGUGAGUAACACGUGGGCAACCUGCCUCAUAGAGAGGAAUAGCCUUCCGAAAGGGAGAUUAAUACCUCAUAACAUUGCAGUUUCGCAUGGAACAGCAAUUAAAGGAGUAAUCCGCUAUGAGAUGGGCCCGCGGCGCAUUAGCUAGUUGGUGAGGUAACGGCUCACCAAGGCGACGAUGCGUAGCCGACCUGAGAGGGUGAUCGGCCACAUUGGGACUGAGACACGGCCCAGACUCCUACGGGAGGCAGCAGUGGGGAAUAUUGCACAAUGGGGGAAACCCUGAUGCAGCAACGCCGCGUGAGUGAUGACGGCCUUCGGGUUGUAAAGCUCUGUCUUCAGGGACGAUAAUGACGGUACCUGAGGAGGAAGCCACGGCUAACUACGUGCCAGCCGCGGC
RNAcentral lists this ribosomal RNA (478 nucleotides) under uncultured bacterium. Its description in RNAcentral is "bacterial SSU rRNA". It matches the Rfam family "Bacterial small subunit ribosomal RNA", at positions 23 to 518 of the family's 1533-position model. The record is from RNAcentral.